This is a long non-coding RNA of Leopardus geoffroyi (Geoffroy's cat), 998 nucleotides long. RefSeq lists it as uncharacterized. The transcript has 2 exons. The record is from RefSeq and is a predicted model, not a curated record. Lineage: Eukaryota; Metazoa; Chordata; Mammalia; Carnivora; Felidae.
GAAUGAGUUAUGACAGAACGAAGAAUGUUUAAAUUGUGCUCAGCACACAGUAGUCACAUAGUGAAGGAAUAAAGGGACCAAUUUUCAGGCAACCCAGGGACAUUAGUCACCGUUUAUACGCCAACUAUCAAUACGGCCAGCACGAGUCAUACUUAGAUGUUCAUCAAUGCCAUUCCCUUCCAGCCUUCCAGUAGACGUUUAGCUACCAAUUCGUAUGAAACGGAAAGAAAAUGAAUAAAGAUUUUAGUUACCCUAUGAACUUAAAAGGAAUACAAUUGCAUUUCUCUUAAAUAAUAAUAGCGCAGACAGUAGAGACUCUCUUACUUCUCUCACUUCAGUCUCUCACUUCCCCCCAGCUAGCCUUCCGCAUAAAGCCACACACCAUUAAUUCAAAUUUCACCUUCAAAAAUUCACAUUUCUAAAUUAACUACCAUUGAACUGUGGGCUUUGACCUAUCGGCAUACUGCUUUAACUUUCAAAGGUCUGCAUCACAGCUGCAACUGACAUGGAUGUAUCCGGAAUCAAGAGGCAUCCGGUCCCCUUGGCAUUUCUAGGGCGCGGUGGCCACAUCGGCUAUUUUAUUUACCGUCCUUUGAAAGCCUUAGUAAUGCUAAAAGCUCAGCACUGUAAUCAUACUUGGUUAGCUCGAGACUAAUUAGUCAUUCGAUGCCAUUUAUUUGUCAUGAAGAUUGCUUUCCAAAUUACCAGUUUAUUUAGCCUUCACUAAUAAUUAUUUCACAAGGGCUUUUUCACCACUGUUCAUUUGCAUGUGUAGAAUUUACUCAUUGAGAAUGAACUAAAGAUGGAAUUUUUUUUUUUUUUUUAGUUGAAGUUGAACUGGAAUGGUGUUUGAUUUACUCUGCCAGAUCGCUCCUUCUGUGAAGACAGCCCUCUGCAAACCCAGAAGACUGUUCUCAGCAGAACCCAGCCAUGCUGGCGCCCUGAUGUGGGACUUCCCAGCCUCCUGAACUGUGACAAAUAAAUCUCUGCUGCGUAAG